AUUGAACGCUGGCGGCAUGCUUUACACAUGCCAGUCGAACGGUAACAGGUCUUCGGAUGCUGACGAGUGGCGCACGGGUGCGUAAUACAUCGGAACGUGCCUAGUAGUGGGGGAUAACUACUCGAAAGAGUAGCUAAUACCGCAUGAGAUCUACGGAUGAAAGCAGGGGACCUUCGGGCCUUGUGCUACUAGAGCGGCUGAUGGCAGAUUAGGUAGUUGGUGGGGUAAAGGCUUACCAAGCCUGCGAUCUGUAGCUGGUCUGAGAGGACGACCAGCCACACUGGGACUGAGACACGGCCCAGACUCCUACGGGAGGCAGCAGUGGGGAAUUUUGGACAAUGGGCGAAAGCCUGAUCCAGCAAUGCCGCGUGCAUGAUGAAGGCCCUCGGGUUGUAAACUGCUUUUGUACGGAACGAAAAGCCUGGGGCUAAUAUCCCCGGGUCAUGACGGUACCGAAAGAAUAAGCACCGGCUAACUACGUG
This 482-nucleotide ribosomal RNA is filed under the name uncultured bacterium. RNAcentral's name for it is "partial 16S ribosomal RNA". It matches the Rfam family "Bacterial small subunit ribosomal RNA", at positions 30 to 507 of the family's 1533-position model. The record is from RNAcentral.